UAGUCAUAUGCUUGUCUCAAAGAUUAAGCCAUGCACGUCUAAGUACAAUCCUGAUAUUAUAAGAGAAACUGCAGAUGGCUCAUUAGAUCAGUUAUGGUUUAUCGGAGUUCGUAAAAGUGCCAUGGAUAACUGUGGUAAUUCUAGAGCUAAUACAUGCAAUUAAGCGCCGACCCUUCGGGGAAGGCGUGCUUUUAUUAGGAACAAGGCCAGCCCGGAGGGUCUCCUUUCGGUCUCAUCCGCUGGUGAACUCUAGAUAACAAUGCCGAUCGCACGGUCUCGCACCGGCGACGCUCCCUUCAAAAGUCUGCUCUAUCAACUGUCGAUGGUAUGUUAUGCGCUUAUCAUGGUAAUGACGGGUAACGGAGAAUCAGGGUUCGAUUCCGGAGAGGGAGCCUGAGAAACGGCUACCACAUCCAAGGAAGGCAGCAGGCACGCAAAUUACCCACUCCUGACACGGGGAGGUAGUGACAAAAAAUAACGAUACAGGCCUCUUCGGAGGCCCUGUGAUCGGAAUGAGUACACUUUAAAUCCUUUAACGAGGAUCUACUGGAGG
RNAcentral lists this ribosomal RNA (553 nucleotides) under Scotoplanes sp. TT-2017. Its description in RNAcentral is "bacterial SSU rRNA". It matches the Rfam family "Eukaryotic small subunit ribosomal RNA", at positions 21 to 554 of the family's 1831-position model. The record is from RNAcentral. Lineage: Eukaryota; Metazoa; Echinodermata; Holothuroidea; Elasipodida; Elpidiidae.